Long non-coding RNA from Arvicola amphibius (Eurasian water vole), 1607 nucleotides. RefSeq lists it as uncharacterized. The transcript is spliced from 3 exons. The record is from RefSeq and is a predicted model, not a curated record. Lineage: Eukaryota; Metazoa; Chordata; Mammalia; Rodentia; Cricetidae.
GCGGCAGUUUCUAAAUCCCAACUCCCCAGAGCUCUGUGUGGUGCCUACAGGGUGCCAUGAAGAACAAAAAGCCACUGAAGGCUUCAGGCUGCUAAGCAGCAGAUACUGGUGGCCGGCCCACACCCCGCUUCUCACGUUGAUGCUAACCCAGGGCUCUCUACAGGGUACCACCCACUGGCUGACGUUGUCACUUUCGUCCAGGGCUUGUUCUCACUUUUCCUUCUACUUGGCUGGCUUGUUCCAGCUCAACAUACAGCCAAGGCAGAGAACAGCCACGUGUGUGCCAUUCUUUCGUCCCAGAUUUUGUCACCUGUCCUGAGACAGUGCACCCAUCUACAAAGUCUUGGUUUCUGGUUUCGUGCAGACACGGCAGAUCUACCUGUCACGGACACCUCGGCUGGAACACCGGCUCCUCUGCAGAGCCACAGCUGCCCGCCCCCAUGUGUGCUACUGGUUCACUUUUCAGUGUCCCCUGCUGGAGGUAAACACCAUAGGGACAAGGGCAGUGCCUACCGCAUCCACCCUACAGUCUACACAGAUGGACAGAGUUAUAUGGAUGAGUUCAAUGUCGGCCUGGGCUACGAGACCAUGUCACAGAGACAAGAUAAUGAAGUACGGUCACAAAGGAAAGAGGUUAGGAGCCAAAGGAAAACGAGAAGAGAAAGAGUCGACUGUCAACCAUCGCUGGGGAAGGAGGCACACACAGGCUAAGAGGAGGGGGCACGCCAGUGGAAAAUGAAUCUGCAGACACACAACGCGGGGCAAGCCAAAGUCAUGAGUUCCAGGCCCACCUUCUGGCCACCCCUUCCCCAGGACAAGGAUGCUCAGCAAGCCACUCUUACCUCCUCUGCGGUGACCAUGGCGAUCACGUUCACCCCCUGCUCCCACACCAUCUGCCAGAAGUCAUGGCAGGUAUGUGGCAGGGGUCCCUGAGUGGCGAUGUAGUGCCAUUCUGCCCCACCAACCACCACCUGCAAGGCAAGGGAAGGAUAAGUAAGCCGGGCUGGUGGAAGAACGCUCGAUUUUAAUUCUUCUGGACCAAGUCGACUGGUGCGAUCCUAAAAACCCAAAGCCACACACAGUAGAUGACACACUUCCUAGAAAGUCAGACUUUCCUGACCUUUUUGUGCACACAACAGGCAGUACCUGCAAACUAGAAUGGAUUAAAAGCGUACACAUGGGCUGAGGAGAUGCUCAGUAGGCAAAGUGCCUUCUGCACAAGCGUGAGGACCCGAGUAAAGACCCCCAGCACCCACAUAUACGCUAGGUGGUGUGUGCCUGUUAUCCCAGGGCUGGGAGGUUAAAGAGCAAGGGUCCCCGGGCUCAAUGACUACACUGUGGACAAAGUGAAUCCAGGCUCAGUCAAAGACCUCAAAAAUAAGGUGGAGGGGCUGGGUGAGACGGUUGGUGGUGAGGGUGCCUGACAUUAACUCUGAUACCCUAAACAUGACCCCCAGGAUCCACGUCAUGGAAGGAGAGAACCAACUCUUGCCAGUUGUCCUCUGACAUACACACACACACACACACGACAUGGGCACACACACAGAAAGACACAGACACACAAAAUAAAAUGUAAUAAUAAACUUACGAGUGAUACAGAAGAUAAA